GUCAGAAGAGUGUGGCACUCUGAAGGCAUGAUUCAUGACCUAUUUUUGGCACUAACCUACCUGGGAUGAAUUAAAUUACACUUCACAAAUGCAAGUUCCUCCUACUGAUUCUGAAGGAAACUUGGGACCUGUAGCACGGGUACAAACAUCUGUAUUUUAGAUGUGUGAAGGGAAGUGAGGCAAAUCCUCCUUUGCACGCAGAGAGAAGGAAAGCAUUGCCACAAGAUGUCCUCUGAACCUGAGUCAGCAUCCAGUCACCAUCCACUCUUGUCUCUGGGAGAGGCAAGGAAGGAGGAAGACAGUGGACUGCCUGUUGCUGGAGAAGAUACUGAAGAAGCACCAAAAAGGACUGAUGGGGAAUCCAUGAUGGGCCAGGUAGUGCCAAGAUGAUGUACUGGGAUGGUAAUACUGAAGUUCAUAGUGUUUCUGGAUGAGGUGACGUGAACAGGUCAGGACAGAGCAUAGUGGAGGCAUUGUGGAGAAAAAGUCUGAAAUAUUACAGAGAUUAAUAGUAUGGUAAUAUUUAUCCAUGGCCAAUAUAUGCAAGAUCAGUGAGCAUGUGGAAUAAAGUAUGUUUUUUGGUUUAGAUUCUGAAAAAUAUCAGGAAGAGAGUAUUAUUGGAAACCAAGAAAAAGAAGUGAGGGUGAAAAGGCCAAGGAGGUCAAGUUAUGUUUCAUCCCUCAUCAAGAGCUUCUGAUGCCUGAUCAGAUCUUCUUGUGUGCUAAUUACAAAUCAACACGGUGCUCUAUUAGAUAUGCUUCUUUUCACUGAGCAGACCAACCGCUUCAGAGACCAGGCAGACUCAUGUCUGUGUAGUGGCAACUUCCACUUGUAACAACAGCAGUGGCUUUGGCACAGCUAUCUGAGAUUUCAUGGGAGAAUUUAAUUAAAAAA
Molecule: long non-coding RNA, 894 nt
Organism: Gallus gallus (chicken)
Lineage: Eukaryota; Metazoa; Chordata; Aves; Galliformes; Phasianidae
Source: Ensembl